UAUUUGACCUGGACGGACUUAUUCUGAAU
Molecule: non-coding RNA, 29 nt
Filed under: Mus musculus (house mouse)
Lineage: Eukaryota; Metazoa; Chordata; Mammalia; Rodentia; Muridae
Source: RNAcentral